UUGACAGUCUUGGACACUGCUGUCUCCCGUUAAUCCACAAACAAAAGAACUGCUGGGGCAGUGGCUUCACCAUCCUAAUCUGGAGGGAAAACCACUUUCAGAAUGAAGGCUAGUUCAGUCUCCACACAUUCAAAUCCUUGGCCUCG
Molecule: small RNA, 146 nt
Filed under: Crocodylus porosus (Australian saltwater crocodile)
Lineage: Eukaryota; Metazoa; Chordata; Crocodylia; Crocodylidae
Description: TUC338 (ENSCPRG00005018688.1)
Source: RNAcentral